This 504-nucleotide ribosomal RNA is filed under the name uncultured Glomeromycotina. RNAcentral's name for it is "partial small subunit ribosomal RNA". It matches the Rfam family "Eukaryotic small subunit ribosomal RNA", at positions 591 to 1092 of the family's 1831-position model. The record is from RNAcentral. Lineage: Eukaryota; Fungi; Glomeromycota.
CCAAUAGCGUAUAUUAAAGUUGCUGCGGUUAAAAAGCUCGUAGUUGAAUUUCGGAAUUGAUGCAUCGGUCGUGUCUUAAGGGGCAUGAACUGGUGUAACCAAUUUCUCACUUUCUGGUGAAUUGUGAUGUCUUAAUUGGUGUCUCAAUGAACUGGAAUUUUUUACUUUGAAAAAAUUAGAGUGUUUAAAGCAGGCAUUGAUUUGCUUGAAUACAUUAGCAUGGAAUAAUGAAAUAGGACGGUGGUUCUGUUUUGUUGGUUUCUAGGAUCACGUAAUGAUUAAUAGGGACAGUUGGGGGCAUUAGUAUUCAAUUGUCAGAGGUGAAAUUCUUGGAUUUAUUGAAGACUAACUAUUGCGAAAGCAUUUGCCAAGGAUGUUUUCAUUAAUCAAGAACGAAAGUUAGGGGAUCAAAGACGAUUAAGUACGUCGUAGUCCUAACCAUAAACUAUGCCGACUAGGAAUCAGACGAUGUUAAUUUUUUAAUGACUCGUUUGGUACCUUACG